UCUUGGAACUUUUGAAAUAGAAGACAAAAGCAAAAAGCGCGAAAGCGUUGAAUCUAGUGAAAAAUCAAGUUCUGGGACUCAAUCCAAAAGCAAGAAAGGUAAAAGUAUGAAAACCAUUUACCUUUAUAAAGCACAAAUUCCAGAAGGAAAAAACAAAGGUGAUAAUGCCAUCUUAAUUACUAACCAAACUGUUAUUGAUAAACUAGAAAAAGCUGCUAAAGAAGACGGUAAAAGUGGAACUCAAGUUUCAACUAUUGCAAGUAAAUCAACAACUAAAGAGAACCAAGAAAACAAAAUAAUUGGUUACACAUCGACUGAUAACCUUCGUGAAGACAAUAAGAACAUUUUCGAUAUCGAUGAUCUUAACGAUGAAAAAUAUGACCGUAAGAUUAUUGUUAGUGCUACUGAAGAAGUAUUGGAACAAUCUAACACUUUACAGAGUGAAGAAGCAGUUGUUCUACCGGCACCUGCUAAAUAUAAAGCUAGUGAUUCCACAAAAAUAGCAAUCACCCAAGAACCUAACCUAAUUGGUAUCCAUGCUAACGAAAAGGAAAAUGAGGAAACACGUAAGUUUGUUAAUUGGUUUUUAAACAGUGAGCAAACUUGGGAAUCCAAGAAAUACAGUAAAAAUAAGCAAAACUCCAACGAAAAGAGAACUCCUGCACAAUUCUUUGCUGAUUCCGCGUCUUACAUUCUACCCUUAAAGAAAACCUUCGAUAAUGCCAACAAAAAAGAAGAUCAAAGUAAGGCCAAUAACAAGACUAAUAGCCAAAGAACUAACACCUAUAUCGAAAAGGCAUUAGAAAUUUUUAAAGGAAUUAGCCAAAACCAAAUAACAAGUUACAGUGAUCCAAGCGACUUUAGAAGUGGUCGCUUCCGCGAUGGUAUUGGUUCUAACU
This 899-nucleotide small RNA is filed under the name Mycoplasmoides pneumoniae M129. RNAcentral's name for it is "Mycoplasma pneumoniae M129 ncRNA". The record is from RNAcentral. Lineage: Bacteria; Bacillati; Mycoplasmatota; Mycoplasmoidales; Mycoplasmoidaceae.